RNAcentral lists this ribosomal RNA (2929 nucleotides) under Salmonella enterica subsp. enterica serovar Enteritidis. RNAcentral describes it as "23S ribosomal RNA". It matches the Rfam family "Bacterial large subunit ribosomal RNA". Lineage: Bacteria; Pseudomonadati; Pseudomonadota; Gammaproteobacteria; Enterobacterales; Enterobacteriaceae. The record is from RNAcentral.
GGGUUGUGAGGUUAAGCGACUAAGCGUACACGGUGGAUGCCCUGGCAGUCAGAGGCGAUGAAGGGCGUGCUAAUCUGCGAUAAGCGCCGGUAAGGUGAUAUGAACCGUUAUAACCGGCGAUACCCGAAUGGGGAAACCCAGUGUGAUUCGUCACACUAUCAUUAACUGAAUCCAUAGGUUAAUGAGGCGAACCGGGGGAACUGAAACAUCUAAGUACCCCGAGGAAAAGAAAUCAACCGAGAUUCCCCCAGUAGCGGCGAGCGAACGGGGAGGAGCCCAGAGCCUGAAUCAGCAUGUGUGUUAGUGGAAGCGUCUGGAAAGGCGCGCGAUACAGGGUGACAGCCCCGUACACAAAAGCGCAUGUGCUGUGAGCUCGAUGAGUAGGGCGGGACACGUGGUAUCCUGUCUGAAUAUGGGGGGACCAUCCUCCAAGGCUAAAUACUCCUGACUGACCGAUAGUGAACCAGUACCGUGAGGGAAAGGCGAAAAGAACCCCGGCGAGGGGAGUGAAAAAGAACCUGAAACCGUGUACGUACAAGCAGUGGGAGCACAGGUUUACCUGUGUGACUGCGUACCUUUUGUAUAAUGGGUCAGCGACUUAUAUUCUGUAGCAAGGUUAACCGAAUAGGGGAGCCGGAGGGAAACCGAGUCUUAAUUGGGCGUUAAGUUGCAGGGUAUAGACCCGAAACCCGGUGAUCUAGCCAUGGGCAGGUUGAAGGUUGGGUAACACUAACUGGAGGACCGAACCGACUAAUGUUGAAAAAUUAGCGGAUGACCUGUGGCUGGGGGUGAAAGGCCAAUCAAACCGGGAGAUAGCUGGUUCUCCCCGAAAGCUAUUUAGGUAGCGCCUCGUGAAUUCAUCUCCGGGGGUAGAGCACUGUUUCGGCUAGGGGGCCAUCCCGGCUUACCAACCCGAUGCAAACUGCGAAUACCGGAGAAUGUUAUCACGGGAGACACACGGCGGGUGCUAACGUCCGUCGUGAAGAGGGAAACAACCCAGACCGCCAGCUAAGGUCCCAAAGUCAUGGUUAAGUGGGAAACGAUGUGGGAAGGCCCAGACAGCCAGGAUGUUGGCUUAGAAGCAGCCAUCAUUUAAAGAAAGCGUAAUAGCUCACUGGUCGAGUCGGCCUGCGCGGAAGAUGUAACGGGGCUAAACCAUGCACCGAAGCUGCGGCAGCGACGCUUAUGCGUUGUUGGGUAGGGGAGCGUUCUGUAAGCCUGCGAAGGUGGCCUGUGAGGGUUGCUGGAGGUAUCAGAAGUGCGAAUGCUGACAUAAGUAACGAUAAAGCGGGUGAAAAGCCCGCUCGCCGGAAGACCAAGGGUUCCUGUCCAACGUUAAUCGGGGCAGGGUGAGUCGACCCCUAAGGCGAGGCCGAAAGGCGUAGUCGAUGGGAAACGGGUUAAUAUUCCCGUACUUGGUGUUACUGCGAAGGGGGGACGGAGAAGGCUAUGUUGGCCGGGCGACGGUUGUCCCGGUUUAAGCGUGUAGGUGUGUGUUCCAGGUAAAUCCGGUUCACUUUAACACUGAGGCGUGACGACGAGGCACUACGGUGCUGAAGCAACAAAUGCCCUGCUUCCAGGAAAAGCCUCUAAGCAUCAGGUAACAUCAAAUCGUACCCCAAACCGACACAGGUGGUCAGGUAGAGAAGACCAAGGCGCUUGAGAGAACUCGGGUGAAGGAACUAGGCAAAAUGGUGCCGUAACUUCGGGAGAAGGCACGCUGACACGUAGGUGAAGUGAUUUACUCAUGGAGCUGAAGUCAGUCGAAGAUACCAGCUGGCUGCAACUGUUUAUUAAAAACACAGCACUGUGCAAACACGAAAGUGGACGUAUACGGUGUGACGCCUGCCCGGUGCCGGAAGGUUAAUUGAUGGGGUCAGCGCAAGCGAAGCUCCUGAUCGAAGCCCCGGUAAACGGCGGCCGUAACUAUAACGGUCCUAAGGUAGCGAAAUUCCUUGUCGGGUAAGUUCCGACCUGCACGAAUGGCGUAAUGAUGGCCAGGCUGUCUCCACCCGAGACUCAGUGAAAUUGAACUCGCUGUGAAGAUGCAGUGUACCCGCGGCAAGACGGAAAGACCCCGUGAACCUUUACUAUAGCUUGACACUGAACAUUGAGCCUUGAUGUGUAGGAUAGGUGGGAGGCUUUGAAGUGUGGACGCCAGUCUGCAUGGAGCCGACCUUGAAAUACCACCCUUUAAUGUUUGAUGUUCUAACGUGGACCCGUUACCCGGGUUGCGGACAGUGUCUGGUGGGUAGUUUGACUGGGGCGGUCUCCUCCUAAAGAGUAACGGAGGAGCACGAAGGUUGGCUAAUCCUGGUCGGACAUCAGGAGGUUAGUGCAAUGGCAUAAGCCAGCUUGACUGCGAGCGUGACGGCGCGAGCAGGUGCGAAAGCAGGUCAUAGUGAUCCGGUGGUUCUGAAUGGAAGGGCCAUCGCUCAACGGAUAAAAGGUACUCCGGGGAUAACAGGCUGAUACCGCCCAAGAGUUCAUAUCGACGGCGGUGUUUGGCACCUCGAUGUCGGCUCAUCACAUCCUGGGGCUGAAGUAGGUCCCAAGGGUAUGGCUGUUCGCCAUUUAAAGUGGUACGCGAGCUGGGUUUAGAACGUCGUGAGACAGUUCGGUCCCUAUCUGCCGUGGGCGCUGGAGAACUGAGGGGGGCUGCUCCUAGUACGAGAGGACCGGAGUGGACGCAUCACUGGUGUUCGGGUUGUCAUGCCAAUGGCACUGCCCGGUAGCUAAAUGCGGAAGAGAUAAGUGCUGAAAGCAUCUAAGCACGAAACUUGCCCCGAGAUGAGUUCUCCCUGAGACUUAGAGUCUCCUGAAGGAACGUUGAAGACGACGACGUUGAUAGGCCGGGUGUGUAAGCGCAGCGAUGCGUUGAGCUAACCGGUACUAAUGAACCGUGAGGCUUAACCUUACAACGCCGAAG